Molecule: non-coding RNA, 73 nt
Filed under: Palpitomonas bilix
Lineage: Eukaryota
Source: RNAcentral
AACCCAAAGAAACCGUAUUUACCAUGAGUGAUCAACGAAAGGUAAGGAGCCCACACAUAUACACACCACUCUC